AAGAAGAUUUUGUCAGCACGAACGUCAGUUUGUUUGUGUUUUGUUUUGUUUGUCUUUUCUUGUGUUUUGGGGUCCCAUAUUAUUAUGCCUUUUGACCGUAUAUAUUUUAUUUUUAUUUUUGUCUUGUGACUUUUCUGAUUGAUGUUUAUCAUAUGACAAUGGAACCUUUAAAUCAAUCCUUGGUUUGAUAAUGGCGCAAGCCGAAACAUGUAACCGGAUGAUUUGAAUACAAGGUUCCACCACUGAAGUGCUUUAUAGACUUUUUUCUUUUUCCUCUU
Coccinella septempunctata (seven-spotted ladybird) is the source of this 278-nucleotide long non-coding RNA. RefSeq lists it as uncharacterized. The transcript has 2 exons. Lineage: Eukaryota; Metazoa; Arthropoda; Insecta; Coleoptera; Coccinellidae. The record is from RefSeq and is a predicted model, not a curated record.